This 1907-nucleotide long non-coding RNA is filed under the name Homo sapiens (human). RNAcentral's name for it is "non-protein coding NRAV:7". The record is from RNAcentral. Lineage: Eukaryota; Metazoa; Chordata; Mammalia; Primates; Hominidae.
GCAGACCACAAUGCACCGCUCACGGCGUCGGUUGCCCGGGCAAUGGGCCGCACGCUACGAGGCCCACACACCCAGAAGGUGGAGCCCCGGCCGGGUUACGAGGACCACCCAGCUGUCUGGAGAGAUGAAGAAAAUGAGGUUCAAAGAGAUGAAGUCUCUUGCCUAAAGUCAGUGACAGAAAGUGACAGAGCUGGGAUGUGAAUCCUGGUCUGACUCUACAGUCCCACAUGGUAGAUGGAACCUCCGAGCAACACCUAAACAAAAGGAGUUGAUGCCUCCGAACAGAGUAAUGUCGCUGGAGACACUAAGCAUCGUCGGCCCCUGGCAGGAGCUCCCUAAAUAUGUGUUGGAUGGAUGGAAGAAAGGAUGGAUAGUUCAGAGUACUUCAGCCUUGAUUCCUCCGCAACAGACACCUGAAACUUGACCCUACAUUGGUUCUUGGCCAUCGUGAUCUUCCUUGGACAGAAUCACCUUUCAGCUCCGGUCAUCAGACUUUCCCAGGGCCCUCAGAAAGCCCUUCAGAGUUGUUACUCACAGGCAGGCUGAGGGAUUCCUUACGGGGUCUGCAGCUCUCCUCACCUCAUCCACAAGUAGGACCGUGGCCUGUUCCUCACUACUGCCCCAGGAUCACUCUGUUCCCAGCCCAGUCCAGCAAUCACUUGUCUAGCUUUCUGGAACCUUGAGUACUUUCUUGAACCAUGAGUCCUGUGACCACCCUAGCAGCUCUAACCCUCCCUUAUCUGAAAGGAAGUGUGAGGUGACCUUGCAGGUCCCAGAGUUGAUUGAAGACCCCAUCCAGAAAGAAGGCACCCUGUGGGAGAGAUUGCAAGGCCUAGGUCUGAAUCCGGAAGCUUCCACCCCAUGGAGAAGGGCUGGCACCAGCCUGGGGCUGGCAGUGGAGCUGAGCUUUGGAGCCAAGGACUGUACUGCAGUGCAGGGAGAGUGAGGCCAGAAAGGCUGAGACAACUCAGGGAAAGAAAACCUCCCUUCUGGCUAAUAGUCAAGCACCGCCUGAGUAGACCAACACUCUCCUGUCCACAGGGGCAGCAGAUGAAGACACAACCAGAGAGGACUAACAGGCCCCCUCAGCUCUCAGUCAGAGGGCAGAGCAACACAGAAUAGACAUUAAAGGAACAGACUUUGAGGCCAGGCAGCCUUGGGUGUGCAUCUGUCCCUACUAAGCCAUGUGACAUUAAACAAGUGAGUCCACCUCUCUGAGCCUCAGGUUCCUCAUCUGUAAAAUGGGGAUUAUAAGAGUUCUUGUUUCUCAGGGACAAUGUGAGGAUUAAGUGAGAUGAUACACAUAGAGAAUGUGGUGCAGUACUGGGCACAUGGCAAAGAUCAGUGAUGCUAGCUACCACUUAUCAUUAGUGUUCCUGUAGACCAGGACUUCUCAACCUUGGCACUAUUCACCUUUUGGGCCAGAAAGUUUUUUUUGUUGUUGUUGUGGGGAGCUGUCCUAUGCAUUUGAGGAUGUUUAACAGCACCCCUGGCCUCUACCCACUAGAUGCCAAUCACACCACACCCCCAGUUUCAACAACCAAAAAUGUCUGCAGAUGGUGCCGAAUGUCUUCUGGAGGGUGAAAUCACUCCCCAGCAGUUGAAAAGCACCACCCUAAACAAUCUGGACUGAAUUUGAAUGUCACAGAUCCCAAGCUCACAGCUCCAUGUAAAGGCCACAAGGCAGGCAGGCCUACUUGCAGAUGAAGGAACGGAAAGAGCAACAAUUACAGAUCAAGCGGCUAGCUCCGGUGUAGACUAAGAGGCGGGAUCUGUAGUCUGCUCUAGGAGCUAACAAGGCCUCUGUGACUCAGUAGGUGACCUCAGUGUCACUCUUUAAUUAUAUGCAAAGUGGUCUUGUGUUAACUCUUAAUUAUUCUAGGGCUCCAAACAAGAAAAUAGGUAGU